UGUGAAAGUUUUCAGGUGGUUCCACGAG
This 28-nucleotide non-coding RNA is filed under the name Homo sapiens (human). The record is from RNAcentral. Lineage: Eukaryota; Metazoa; Chordata; Mammalia; Primates; Hominidae.